Molecule: long non-coding RNA, 2610 nt
Organism: Gallus gallus (chicken)
Lineage: Eukaryota; Metazoa; Chordata; Aves; Galliformes; Phasianidae
Source: Ensembl
CUUCUGCCUCGAACCUGUCAAGUGCCAAUAUUCAUUUUAAUGAUCUCAUUUUAUAAAUAAUGGAAAGAAAAACAAUACAUUCAAUAGAAAUGAGAUUAGAAAUGGGAGGGGAAUGAAUUACAAAUGCAAGAGUCUGUAGUUGUUCCAAGGAAGAUAAAUCUCAUUUUAAGUGGUCUCCAGUGAAACAGCAUCUUGGUAAGGAUAAAACAAGCAAACAACUAAAACCCACAAAAAAGCCCACGUCUUUUGCUGAUAAAGAAAGGUGGAUGGCAGCAGCAGGGAGUGUUUGCUGACACAGGUCAGUUGUCACAGUAUCUUGAGACCAGUGAUACGUAGGUUUUCUUCUUGGCCUUGCCAUGGCCUCCCUGUGAUAAAUCAUUUAACAGCUGGUGCCAGCAUUGCAGGACAAUCUGGAAAAUCAAACUCCAGUGAACAAACGUGCAGGUGACAUCAAGAAGCAAUGCUCGGGGCAGCAGCCACUGCCAGGCUUCCACCUCAGCAGGAUAUUUGAAGCCUGGCUCACACCAUGAGUUGCUCUGGAUGUGCUGAUGGCUGGUUUCAGUGGCAAGAUGGAUAGAGCCUGGAGGAGGUGCUGGCGUGACCCCCAGCCUGCUGGCCACACCAGCCCUCUGUGCACAGGGAGGCUUCGAAGCAAACCCGAACCAUACAGUUGCUCACGGCCCGCCAGUGCUUGCCUGCAACCUCCUCCCCCUCCUACCUCAUGUGUGUCCAAGAAGGCUUUGAUGAAGGGCUCAGUUCACCAGUGUGCAAACAACCAAGUGGUCCCCGUAGUGCUCUCUGGCUCCUGGACCCAGCGCUGGCCAUUGAGAAAGCUCUGGGCUGAAGACCAACACCAAGCAUCCAAACAAUGAUCAACCAAAAUGGUCAGGACUGUGUGCGCUGGCCUUUGGACUGCUUCCAUCAACAACACAGAGAGCGCCGACAAGAGCAGCCUAUGGAGUGUGGGGAAGGCAUGAGGGGAAACUGAGUCGCAACGGCUUUAAGAGGAUGUAACAAGGGCUUCUUCUGAAAUAACAGAUCUUACUGUAACCAAAUAUUGCCAUCCAGGAAAGCCAUUUUGCAACCAGCAAGGAGGCUUCUUCCUUCCCAGCAGCCGCUGAAAAGGCCCUUUGUUCUCAGUGGAACACCUGGAGAGGUUUAUCUGCCGUGGCCUCUGGGGCCAGCACUGAGGAGCUGUGACAGGACCCAGUGGCACUGGAGUUGGUGGCAAGCCAGGUGCUGCUGGCACCCAAAAACCAUCCCAGCUGGGCUAUGGCAUGGGCAGCUUUUGGUUGUCUCUUCCAUGGGGGCCAGGAUGCUGGCCUGGCUUGUGUUUUCUUUCUUUUCCCAUCCUAAAAUGAACCGCUGCAGUCCGAAUUGUCUUUAGACAGCAUUGAGGGGGUGACACCUCUGCAGAGAAUGGAGAACAAGCCUUGGGCCUUUCUGGAGAAAGGGGUAAUGUGAGCAGGGAUAGGCAGACAAAGAGCCCUGCGCACAUGGUUUGGUGCUACACCUGGAAGGGCUGGAGGUGACACUGCUCAGUGGCAUCAUCCUAACCAGUGGCAACUGUCUGAGGUCCAUCUCCAUGUGUGUUCCCUGGUCAUAGACCAUCCCCACGUAAACCAUCAUCACCAGGCAAACCAGCUUCAAAAGCCAAAAGGUUUACAUUCUUUCCCUGCACCUUCUGUGACUCAAAGAAGAAUCUCGAUGAGAAGAAAUCUGCACAGAGAAAACGCAGAGACAGACCUGAUGUGGGGUGAUGUGGAGAGUUGCCACCAUCCAACUGUGUGCUGCUUCUGUGACUGUAUAACCAGUGGCCUCAGGGGGAAUGGGACCUGUGAGCUGUGAGUUAUUAAGCUGGUCCAAGUCUGCUGACCUUCCUCUGCAUGCUGAUUUUCCACUAAAGUCACAGACUGGACAGCCCACAUCAGAAAAAGAAAAGAAAAAAGCAAGAAACUAAAAGUAAGAGACAUCAUUCUUUGCUCCUUGAUCACCCAGACAACAUACCAACCCCUACAAGAGAGUCAUGUUGGGGGAUUUCAGCAAUGCCUCAUCACAGGAUGUGCAGCUCUGUGAAAUAUUGAUCUGAUGAAUAUUGAGAGCAAACUGCAAAGUUUGAGAAAGGACAGACCACAGCUUGAGCUUCAUCAUCUGCAGUGGCGGUCACUGGUUCUCCCAUGCGCAACGGCACCGUUGCCAUUUCUUUGGGACAGGCUGUACUGAAGCUGAUCCACGUGAGAGCUGUUAGCCUGUUCAUGCAGCUCGUAGCUUUCACACCACUUCCAGCCUUGGUCCCUGUCCAGGCACCACCACCAGCUCUCCCAUGACUUUGGGUUUAGGUCUCUUUCUAACAUUCCUCCCUUUCUUCCCCGCUGAGGGAAAACGUCCAGGUUUGUUCUUUUUGACUUUGUGGUAGCGGCCUCAACAGAAGGACAUAGUGCCUAUUGAGUGUCUUUGCAAGGAAAAGGGAGAAACUUCUCAGUUACAUAAAAGUUUGUAUCAAAAUUCAAGAAUCCAGAUUAAUUAUAGUAGACUCGCCUUGUAUCAUUCAAUUUGUUUGAAUAGCUUUAAAGAUUAAGCAGAUCCAAGGCCUAACAGAACCAGAGCCAG